Molecule: long non-coding RNA, 567 nt
Organism: Melitaea cinxia (Glanville fritillary)
Lineage: Eukaryota; Metazoa; Arthropoda; Insecta; Lepidoptera; Nymphalidae
Exons: 2
Source: RefSeq, a predicted model, not a curated record
UUUGACAACCCUGCCAAAAGUUUGAAUGAUGAAAAGUAUGAUGUAAGGUUAUCUCACAAGAGAACAAUACUGAAAUAAAUAAGUUUCGAGUAAACAACUUUUGUUUUUAGUUAACAGCUGAACUUGACAUUGGUUUAUACUUGACACACGAGUGAACUACUGGGGCUCUACUGAAUGUGAAGCAUUUAUUAUAAAAAAAUCAUCACCAGUAUAUUAAGUUUGUUGGAAUAUGUACACAAAUAGUACACAACUCAGGAAACAAACAGGAUUCACGGCUCGUUACAUGGGGGGUGGGUCAAAAAUCUUCAAAAUUUGCAUUAACUAAUACUUGAACAUACAGAUUAUAAAAAUAAUUACGAAUUCUUAAAUAAUAUGAAUUAUUAUUACGGGAGGCCGUGUUGGCGUAACGAUCACAGCACUUGUUUUUUGGGUGUUGCGAUGGUGGUUGCGGAUCGAUCCUCGCACAUGACAAACAUUUGUAUUGGCCAUACGGAUAUUUGCUGUGGUCUGGGUUUAAAUGUUGAACAAAGUGAAAUUAGAAUAAAAAUUAAAGGAUAUAUACAUUUU